Mustela erminea (ermine) is the source of this 589-nucleotide long non-coding RNA. RefSeq lists it as uncharacterized. The record is from RefSeq and is a predicted model, not a curated record. The transcript is spliced from 4 exons. Lineage: Eukaryota; Metazoa; Chordata; Mammalia; Carnivora; Mustelidae.
AGGCAGCAGGGCCUGAAACCUGGGAGUGUCUGGGGCAGGCCGCAGGCCACCCAGGGCGGUCCUGGGGCUGCCGUCGCAAAGUUUCAUAAACCGGGGGCUUCCAACCACAGAGCUCCCUUACCUCCUGGGUCUGGAGACAGAAGUCUGAGCUCAAGGUGUUGGUGUUCCGUUCCUCCAGCGGGAGAAGCUGGUCCUCAUCUCCCAGUGCGGACGCCGCCGGAGACCCUCGGCUUGCAGGUCUGCUCUAGAGAAACUCUACGGGAGGACAGAGACCAGCACUAACGUUCACUGCACCACUGUUUCUAAGGGCGAAUAACGGAACGGCUCUGGUGCCCUCAGCAGGCGCCAGCCUCGGGUUCCUGGGGCGGUCCACCCUGCUUGGAAUUACCUGCGUGGUCCUGAGAAGGCCCUUCCUUCCCCGCCCUCCGUGGCCGUGCAUGCCUUCAGCGGACACACGGCGCCGCGCUUCUCGCCUGACCCCCCCGACCUUGUCCUGCAGCCCCUGCAAGGCGAGGCUCGAGGGACCAGACCCGCGGGCGAAGCCGCCUGAAGCUCGGGACCCGGGCCGGACCGCAGAGCCGGGUAGGCC